This 460-nucleotide ribosomal RNA is filed under the name uncultured bacterium. RNAcentral's name for it is "partial 16S ribosomal RNA". It matches the Rfam family "Bacterial small subunit ribosomal RNA", at positions 338 to 795 of the family's 1533-position model. The record is from RNAcentral.
CCUACGGGAGGCAGCAGUGAGGAAUAUUGGUCAAUGGGCGCGAGCCUGAACCAGCCAAGUAGCGUGAAGGAUGACUACCCUAUGGGUUGUAAACUUCUUUUAUAAAGGAAUAAAGUGAGGCACGUGUGCCUUUUUGUAUGUACUUUAUGAAUAAGGAUCGGCUAACUCAGUGCCAGCAGCCGCGGUAAUACGGAGGAUCCGAGCGUUAACCGGAUUUUUUGGGUUUAAAGGGAGCGUAGAUGGGUUUUUAAGUCAGUUGUGAAAGUUUGCGGCUCAACCGUAAAAUUGCAAUUGAGACUGGCAGCCUUGAGUACAGUUGAGGUAGGCGGAAUUCGUGGUGUAGCGGUGAAAUGCUUAGAUAUCACGAAGAACUCCGAUUGCGAAGGCAGCUUACUAAACUGCCACUGACAUUGAUGCUCGAAAGUGUGGGUAUCAAACAGGAUUAGAUACCCUGGUAGUC